AGAGAUGUCGGGAGGUUGGAAAGAGAGAGAGAGGGAGAGAAACAUAAAGAAGAGAGAGGGAGAGAGAGAGUGUGGGCAAGAAGAGAGGGAGGGCAGGAAUAAGGGAGAGAGAGAAAAUAACAGUUUUGUGUAAAAGAAACACACAGGGAAAAAGGUAGAGAGGGAGGGAGGGAUGAAAGCUGGAUGGAUGAGUAAAAGCAGAGGAGCACAGAGGAAACAGACAGAAGAGAGAGAGGACAGAAACUAAAAGACAGGCAUGUUGGGUCUCAUGUUCUACAGAGCUGAGUGACAUGUUUAGAUAUUUACUCACUCUAGUUUCUCCAGUUUACAGUGUGGGUUCUUCACUAGAGCACAGAGCGGCUCUACAGCUGAUGCACUAAUAUGAUUGGCCCGAUUGUGAGAUUUGAGGAGGGAGACUUAAGCGCAGAGGCCAGAUAGGAACAGCUCUCAUCGGUCAGAAAACAGACUCGCAGCCUGAAACAGAGUUAAACAUCUGAAUAUUAAUCACCAAUCCUCUACUCUCACACACACACACACACACACUCUCUCCAUGCUGGUCAUGUCCAUUGUUUGCACGGUGUACUGUAUGCUGCAAGUGAUCAGGUACUGCAACCACCACGCCUCCUGGAGGAAGUGAUCAGGUACUGCAACCACCACGCCUCCUGGGGGAAGUGAUCAGGUACUGCGGGCCCAUGGGAGGGAAUGGUCUCUAUCCCUGCGGACAAGAGCUACUCCAGAACCGGCCUGUUGGACUACGUAUCGGAGGACCUGGUGUGACGGUGAGCAGUAAAGAGGUCGCUUUAACGAGGCAGGAGGGGUGACAUGCAACACCGUCUCCGAUGGCAACGUGAUAAGUGACCUUCAAUCAUUUUUAGUAAUGCUCCAUCACUGAGGAACAAGAUGGAAGAGCUUUGCUUGUACACAAGGGUCUGCCAUGAAUAUGGGGAGUCUCAUAUGCCUCAUGAUCUCCACUGAAACCUGCUUCAGGAGGACUUCCCAGAUUCUCUGCUUCAGGUACUCGGGGGAUGGACAGGGAUGGGAACUGGGGAGUGGACCGUCCAUGUAGCCUUUCUUGCUGCCAGUAGGGGGAGACACACACACACACACACACACCAAGGGGGCAGUCUGACUGCACUGUACAAAGUACAGUAAUGUACUGUACAAAGUGUGGUCUUAUUACAGCUUUUUAACUAAACCCAUGAAGAAAGACUAUAGCCUAAGUGUCUGGCGUACGAUUUCGAUAAUGUGUGUGUCUGUGUGUGUGUCAGUCAAACACUCUGUAAUCUUUGCAGCCGUUACAAUGUAUCUCUGUAAACAUUGUUGCAAUGCCUGAUCAUAUCUGCCUCGUUUUAACGGUUAGGUUCUAGCUACGCUACGACAAUGAUGAAGAGAAACUCAUCAUUCUGAAAAUAACCUGGCUGUGAGUUUUGUUUCCUAAUGUUUUCAUGCAUGUCUGCAUAACGGGUGAGGAAUGCUUAUAAGACAGACUAUGCACGCGUGUUUUAGGCAUAUAUAGUACAGGCCCUAUUCUCUUACUGAAAGUGCGCAGAACUUGUGCAUCUACAUAACAAUAUUUAAUACAUUCUCCCGGGGGUGACACCACCGAACCCCCUCUAAGUUUUGGGAUGAACUAAAACAUUUCUGUGUCUGUCUGACCUGCCGCAUGUUCAGGGAGGGAGCAGGAGGGAGCUGACCAUGACCAGGAUGGACUCUUUUCCUUCUUGGACCAAACUCUCCUUUGUCUGUGUGGUAUACCCACUAUGAUUUGUCCUUUAUUUUGGCCAUUCAGACAUGUUGUAGACUUUUGUACACAUAAUCACUAUGUUGUUGCCUUUUCUAUCCAUUAGGUGGCAGUGCAGGAUAGGAAAUAGAGCAGUUUAAGUGCUUUAGUAGAAAGAGAGGAAACUAAACUGUAGGAAAACCAGACAAAGAAAAGCAGCGUGUGAACUAACAUUUGUGAAGUUAUUGGAAAUAAAUGUAACCACCUUCAACAUA
Molecule: long non-coding RNA, 1995 nt
Organism: Alosa sapidissima (American shad)
Lineage: Eukaryota; Metazoa; Chordata; Actinopteri; Clupeiformes; Clupeidae
Exons: 2
Source: RefSeq, a predicted model, not a curated record